Fopius arisanus is the source of this 782-nucleotide long non-coding RNA. RefSeq lists it as uncharacterized. The transcript is spliced from 3 exons. The record is from RefSeq and is a predicted model, not a curated record. NCBI's taxonomy places the organism in Eukaryota, Metazoa, Arthropoda, Insecta, Hymenoptera, Braconidae.
CAAAAGUGCCAAUGAAACAAUUCAUGGAUAAGAUUUCAUUCACAAAAGUCAAUUCAUCUGUGAUAAUUAAUAUUCCCCUAUUUGGAUACGAUGUAGCUGUAAAAUUUUUCCAAUUUUCAUCAGAAUUACAGAAGAAUUGAGGAGUUCCUCGAUAUUUUCCGCCAUUUUGUCGCCCCCAUUUCCAAGCAUAAAAUGGCGGUAGUGUGUGGUCGCUUCUCUGACUCUUCAUUUCUUCAGUGAUCCUGCGAAAAAGUUAGCUGAACCCAGAUGAUCUCGGUGGAUUUUUCAUAGAUUUUCAUCUCCAGAAUUCAUGAGCUCCUGCUUCGUUCUCUUCAGCAGAGGGUCUUCAUGGCAGUAAGUUUGAGAAAUAUUCCGUUGUCCACGUUUUCCAGGGAAUUCAUAUUUGAAAUGAAGAAUUUCAAUGUUGGAAUAACAAAUUUCUGUUUUGAUUCGAAAGAACAUGGGUCCAGUGACCUAUUCCAUCCGAAUUACCAUAUUUUUUUCUUCAUGAUGACCACAUGGUGAUGUCACUCUGCUCUGCAUGACCUUCACUGGUUCAACCGUAGGUGUGUCGACUGAUGUGUCCGGCACGGUAAAGCAUGGAAUCAUCGUUUUGCUGAUCGUCAGGUGCGAUUUGGUCAGCGAGAAAUUUAUUUAUAUACACAGGAGAAUUCAGUGAAGAAAUUUUUAACUAUUUCUGUUACAGAUUUUAGGGGGAAAUUUUGAAAAUGAAAUUCCAUCUCUCAUUCCCUUAAUUUUAAUGAAACUUAAAAAUAAUUAUA